This is a long non-coding RNA of Triticum aestivum (bread wheat), 3441 nucleotides long. RefSeq lists it as uncharacterized. Lineage: Eukaryota; Viridiplantae; Streptophyta; Magnoliopsida; Poales; Poaceae. The transcript is spliced from 5 exons. The record is from RefSeq and is a predicted model, not a curated record.
CCCAUGCCGUACGGUGUGCCAUUGGGCCACUGACAAAAGGGGACAGGUUUCUAGUGGGCCCACAUGUGGUCGAAUGGCAGGGGAUCCUCGUCCCAUUUCAGUUGCUACAGUGCAUCUCCGCAUGCAACCCCCACCUCGACUUUUCCCUCUCAUUUUCUUCGUCGAAACCAUGUAACAAGCAUCGGGAACCAACACUCUUAUGAUUCCCAUCCAAAACAAUAAGGUGUGCAUGAAGGGUGAUCUCUCGCGUGGUCCACGUCGGAUUUACUAGGAGACAAAACGUUCGCUUCGUCCAGAAGAAAGAGAAAAUAACAGAGAAAGGGAUUGGCCAGCGGCCCAGCUCCCAGUCAGCCAGUCCCCAUCCCCGAUUCCUCUCCCUCUCCCUUUUCCCUCGUCUGCCGCCGCCACUGGCGACCUCGCCGCAGCCGCCGUGACCAUCCACGCCCUCCCCAACGGCCACCCCUUCUCUCCUCCCCUUACCUUCUCCUUACAAUCGGCAACCUCCUCCCCUCUCCCUCGCACCAGAUCGAGCAGCAGGCCGGGAUCCGAAGCAGCCUCAGAUCCGGCACGCCGAAAGCGAUGGUUUCCGUUGAGAACGCCAUGGACAAGGUGCUCUGGCCCGGUUGCUGCAGCCAUGGACAAGAUGUGUGCGGAUCGGAUGAAGAAUAGAAGAGGAAGGAUCUUGAGGAAGAGUGAAGAACAAGAUGAUCUCUCUCUCUGUCUCUCUGAUUUGCUUAGGUUAUUUUCAUGUGUUGCACUGGCCAUCUCUCCACGGGAUUGAGCUGACAUGGUCAUGGCACUGACGCAAUUACUCGGUGCAAACCCCUUCUCGUUGCUUGCAAAGGCAGAUCCCACGACCUCACAGAAGUUUUUAGUCUUCACCUGCAUUUGCUUUUGGCUUAAAAUUCAUAUAUAUAUGAGUAGGUGACAGUGAUAUCCUGAAGUGCAGAGUGGCUGGGCUAAUUUACUAAUGAAACUCACUAAUAUAUCCUUGGAUGUCUCCUUGGAUGUCUUGAUCAUGAUAUAACCUCCAAUUAAGCGUGCCUAAAAGAGGCAUCCGUUUCCCUUCCCAUGACAAGAGAAAUUUUCCACCUUUUUCUUGCUGUACAGCACCCCGUGUUUCUUCUUUAGGUAUUAAGGUAGCAGGCAGGACAGAAUUGAGAUGGAGAGAUUGAGGAUGAUUAGUUUUGUGAUUGACUGGUUUGUUCGUUUGGUUAGGAAACGGAACAACAUUCUAUGCAACUUUCAAAGAAUAAACUUUUCCUUAUCUUUAGCGCAUGUAGAGAAGAUCAUAAGCAUGCAAAAACAUGGUCUUGCUUAUUUUACAAUAGUUUCUUUGCGAAUAAAUGAGAUGUGGAAUCUAGAGAAAAUUGAUAUUUUAGUUGUAUAGUAUCGCGGGAAAAUCAUAACACGGCCGUCUUCAUCGGGGAUGGGCACGGUGAGAAGUGGCAACGCGUGAGCAUAUGUUUGGCAAGGAAGGUGAUCCACAUGCCAUCUGCUGCAAGGUUGUGAUAACGUCGAGUUCGUGUUACCCAAAGCACACAGCGCAAGCGGGACAAGCUGUAACAGCUAGUGUUCUUCCCUGUCGGUCCUGAGGUGCAGUCCCUGAACACAUCUCGCUAAAAAUUUCUCUCACCCACUCUGAUUCAGUUCUUCCCUUUUGAUGUGCUACUUUGGUUCCUAUAGAGGCCUCCUCUUAAUUAGACAUUUGGUAAGUAUGGGGAUAGCUACAACUGGCCCUCAUGAAGAAACCAAAAUCAUGCCUUCCUCUCUUCAACAUAAACACCGAAAUCAUUCUGGACAGAUCUGUUCUAUAAUAUAAAUCUUAAUCCACUUCACCAAAUCUAGCAGAUGAGAAUAAUAUGAAUAUAAGAAGUAAAUUAUCUAAUAGUUUCAUUUUGGGACCAAACACUGGUUCUGCCUAUAAGUAGGUUUCUUCUUACAGUAUAUCUGAAAGAGUUAGUUAUCAUAUUUAGAAUGUAUAUCGGCCAAAGUAGUUAUUUCAUCGUUCUCUUUCCAAUAUAAUUCACGAUUGCGUACCCUGAUAUGUUUAGUUCCUUUCCAAAACAAUUCGUAAAGUAGCUUUAUUCACUGUGGUUACAUGUUUACUCUUUACAAACAUUUGUAUCCUAUUCUGAUGCCUCUGUUCUUUCUGCAGUUCCUGGAGUUGCUGAAGAAUUUGAUAUAAGUCAAGGUUAAAAUUUGAACAGGAUAGGUGUCUACACCACGAAAGAAAAUGAAGAUAUAUACUUGCAUUAGAUGAAAGUGGCACAACAACAACAAUACAUAACAGAAACAUAGUGUAUCAAGAAGCGUCGGCUGCCUGUAGGAGAUAUUUUGCCCUGCAGUUUCAGUUUGAGAUGAACUUUACAGAGACAUCUAAUCAUUUCCCACCAGUGCAUGUUUUGAAAAAAAAGCUGAGUGUUGCUGAUGCAAAUAAGUCAACAGUCUAGAUGCAUUUAUGGAAUUACAACUAUUGCUGGUGGGAAAUCAAGCAGAGGAGGGCAUGUUGGUGGACCAAGUGACGAUGCAAAAUUUGCUACUGAUUUUGAAGUCCAUUACAUUGCCAGUCGUUGCUCCCUUUUGGUGAUUGACAGAGGAAAUCAAGCUAUUAGGGAGAUUCAGCUCAACUUAGAUGACCGUGUGUACCAGUAUGAAGCUGGUUUUCCUAUAGGUAUGUAUUGUGCAAUUAUUAUAUGCCCUGAGGGUUCAUUUCACUAGGUUGUUCCCUCACUAGAUCAUCCUAAUAAUGUUGAAGCACUGACAUUCUUAUUUCUUGUUGUCUUGUACAUAUCACUAGAAUUCAGUAUUGUGCCAAGCCGGUGAGAAGCUGACUUUAGCACAUGCUAUCUUAAUUUUUGUCAUACAUCAGCAGUUACUAGAUUUGUGCCAUGUACUUCCUCCUGAUCCUGCAGUACUAUUUUUUAGGCAAACCCACACUACUAAAUAAUAUGUAUAUGAGUAUAUCAUAUAUGGGCUCAUUUCACUAGGUUGUUCGCUCACUAGAUCGUCCCAAUUAUUGUACUGUACUGAGUGGUUGAAUUAUCAUGCUGAUCGGGGCGAGGCGACUAUAGCGGCGAGAUCUUAUAAGUGGUUCUUAGAGGUGUACUUGCUGUAGGUGAUCAAUUUGGUCCGGAUUGGAUUUUCUUUUUUAUCUUUGUGAUUGCUUUUCUUAAAAUUGAUCCAACAAUAAUGAUGCAUGACCAGCAAGUCAUGCGCCUGUGGCUUUACACUAAGCUUUGUCCACUAUUAACCUCCUUUUGUGUGUUCGAAAGGAUUUCUCCAUGUAUCGUGUAAUAAGAAUUGUUUGUUUCUUUUUUAGGAUUCAGGAUGGGCGCCUGUUAUGACCGUCAUAUUAGGGGCUUAGCCCAGUGGUUGUGGCCCAAGUUAUUUUAUCAUUAUUAGGGGCUUAGCCCAAUUAUCUUAUCGUCUGCUUAGGAG